UUUAUUACACAAAGUUUGAUAAUAGCGGUUAAAGUACUUCUUAGCAAUACGUUCUUUAAAAAGGGUAAUAUUUUCUUUAUCACUAAUUCUUUUCACAUGCAUUUUAAUAACGAAAUAUGAAAUUUUGAGCAUUGCAGGACUAAUUCUAUCAUAGUUUUCGGACAAGACUAUCAAUUUAAAAUCAUUUAUCUCUGAAGAGCUGGAUUCUCCUUUAUAGUCAAAUGAUACUGCAUUAUAAUUUUUUUUUGAGGAAGUUUGAGGAGGAAUGUCCACAGGUUUAAGCAAAGACAAUUGAAGAUUAUCAGCAUUUAAUAAUAUGUUUUCCAACUGACAGCAGGAUUUUAUUCGAAAAAGUGCUGUGUAGAAGCUGAAGCGUGUAUCAAGUUUAGAAAUCUCCUUGUGGACGAGUGCAAUGUGUGCCCGUUUACAGAAGCUGCAACUAUAGCGUCAGCUUGCAACUUACUUUUCCGUAGGAAUUUUUUAAAACUGGAAACCAUUAAUACCCAAAACAAGUUACAGACUGACAGAUAUUCAAUCAAAAAUCGUUCUACAAUGGUUAAUUUGGGAAGAAGACCAGAGACAAAUUUAAAUUCAACACGCAGGACUAGAGGCAUCAAUAAAUGGAAUAAAAGUAGAUGGAUUUUGUUCAUAAUACAUUUAUGUACUGUAAAGUUAAAGAAAAUGAAAAAAUAAAGUACAUAGACAUAUGCUCGCUGUAUCCGUACGUGUGCAAAUACGGAAAAUUCCCAGUAGGCCAUCCAGAAGUUUUAGUGGGGCAUAAAAUUGAUAUUGAAAGUAUUAAUGGUUUAAUUAAAUGUAACGUCCUUCCGUCAACUAAUUUGAUUCAUAAAUUCAACACGCAGGACUAGAGGCAUCAAUAAAUGGAAUAAAAGUAGAUGGAUUUUGUUCAUAAUACAUUUAUGUACUGUAAAGUUAAAGAAAAUGAAAAAAUAAAGUACAUAGACAUAUGCUCGCUGUAUCCGUACGUGUGCAAAUACGGAAAAUUCCCAGUAGGCCAUCCAGAAGUAUUAGUGGGGCGUAAAAUUGAUAUUGAAAGUAUUAAUGGUUUAAUUAAAUGUAACGUCCUUCCGUCAACUAAUUUGAUUCAUCCUGUUCUACCAAUAAAAUAAAAUAGUAAACUAAUGUUUUUACUUUGUUCUACGUGCAGUCUAUAUGCGAACCAAGAUGAAUGUCUUCAUUCUGAUGAAGAUAGAACUUUAUCAGGAACGUAGGUGAUCGAUGAAGUAUUCAAAGCUGUAAAAACGGGAUACAAAAUAAUUGAAAUACAAGAAAUUGGGAAAUACGAGGUGCAACAAUUUGAUAAAAAUUUAGAUUAUCAUGGGCUAUUUACAGAAAUGAUGGAUAAAUUUCUUAAAACUAAACAGAACGCUUCUGGGUGGCCUAAAGAGUGUAUUACAGAAGAGUCAAAGCAAAAUUAUAUUGAAGAAUUUUUAAAUCAAGAAAAUAUUCAGCUUGAUUCAACAAAUAUUUGUAAAAAUCCGGGAAAAAGAAUCUACAGAAAGUUUAUAUUAAAUUCUUUCUGGAGAAAAUUUGGUCAAAAAAUAGUAAAAAGUCCAGCAAAAUUUUAUUACCUUUUGUCAGAUCCCAGCAAAGAUGUGAUGCAUAUUUUGAUAAUUAAUGAUGAAACUCUGUUAGUCAACUGGAAAUAUAAAAACGAAGAAAUGGAUUCGUUGCGUACAGUAAAUGUAUGUAUAGCAGGCUAUACCACUGCCCAACUGUAUAGUUAAAACUCUAUGAUUAUUUAGAAAAAUUAAAUGAUAAAGUCUUGUAUUAUGACACUGAAUAGGUUAUUUAUGUGUCAAAAGAAGAUGAAUAUGAACCACAUCUAGGCAAUUUUAUUGGAGAUAUGACCAAUGAGCUGGAGUCGAAUGCCGAACUGCAACAACUAAACGAGAAAAACCUCGGAUUCAAGUUUCUAGGAAGGGAUGUCAACAGAUGGAACAUGGCUCUGUUUGA
Molecule: long non-coding RNA, 1977 nt
Organism: Condylostylus longicornis
Lineage: Eukaryota; Metazoa; Arthropoda; Insecta; Diptera; Dolichopodidae
Exons: 3
Source: RefSeq, a predicted model, not a curated record